UUGCUUCUCUGAUGUUAGCGGCGGACGGGUGAGUAACACGUGGAUAACCUACCUAUAAGACUGGGAUAACUUCGGGAAACCGGAGCUAAUACCGGAUAAUAUUUUGAACCGCAUGGUUCAAAAGUGAAAGACGGUCUUGCUGUCACUUAUAGAUGGAUCCGCGCUGCAUUAGCUAGUUGGUAAGGUAACGGCUUACCAAGGCAACGAUGCAUAGCCGACCUGAGAGGGUGAUCGGCCACACUGGAACUGAGACACGGUCCAGACUCCUACGGGAGGCAGCAGUAGGGAAUCUUCCGCAAUGGGCGAAAGCCUGACGGAGCAACGCCGCGUGAGUGAUGAAGGUCUUCGGAUCGUAAAACUCUGUUAUUAGGGAAGAACAUAUGUGUAAGUAACUGUGCACAUCUUGACGGUACCUAAUCAGAAAGCCACGGCUAACUACGUGCCAGCAGCCGCGGUAAUACGUAGGUGGCAAGCGUUAUCCGGAAUUAUUGGGCGUAAAGCGCGCGUAGGCGGUUUUUUAAGUCUGAUGUGAAAGCCCACGGCUCAACCGUGGAGGGUCAUUGGAAACUGGAAAACUUGAGUGCAGAAGAGGAAAGUGGAAUUCCAUGUGUAGCGGUGAAAUGCGCAGAGAUAUGGAGGAACACCAGUGGCGAAGGCGACUUUCUGGUCUGUAACUGACGCUGAUGUGCGAAAGCGU
Molecule: ribosomal RNA, 697 nt
Filed under: uncultured Staphylococcus sp.
Lineage: Bacteria; Bacillati; Bacillota; Bacilli; Caryophanales; Staphylococcaceae
Description: bacterial SSU rRNA
Rfam family: Bacterial small subunit ribosomal RNA
Source: RNAcentral